Molecule: small nucleolar RNA, 138 nt
Filed under: Ornithorhynchus anatinus (platypus)
Lineage: Eukaryota; Metazoa; Chordata; Mammalia; Monotremata; Ornithorhynchidae
Source: RNAcentral
CCCCUCUCAGGAUCGCCCCUGGAGAGUUUCCAGUACUCUACCAGUCUCGGCUCUGGGAGGGAGAGGUGAGCAGAGUCAUACCCAUUCCAUUCCUAGCUUGGGCAGUGGAUAGUGAGUGGAGGGCAAUCUGCUACAAGU